Molecule: ribosomal RNA, 819 nt
Filed under: uncultured bacterium
Lineage: Bacteria
Description: bacterial SSU rRNA
Rfam family: Bacterial small subunit ribosomal RNA
Source: RNAcentral
UAUUAGCGGCGGACGGGUGAGUAACACGUGGGUAACCUGCCUGUAAGAUUGGGAUAACUCCGGGAAACCGGAGCUAAUACCGGAUAAUAUUUUGAACCGCAUGGUUCAAAAUUGAAAGAUGGUUUCGGCUAUCACUUACAGAUGGACCCGCGGCGCAUUAGCUAGUUGGUGAGGUAACGGCUCACCAAGGCAACGAUGCGUAGCCGACCUGAGAGGGUGAUCGGCCACACUGGGACUGAGACACGGCCCAGACUCCUACGGGAGGCAGCAGUAGGGAAUCUUCCGCAAUGGACGAAAGUCUGACGGAGCAACGCCGCGUGAACGAUGAAGGCCUUCGGGUCGUAAAGUUCUGUUGUUAGGGAAGAACAAGUACCAGAGUAACUGCUGGUACCUUGACGGUACCUAACCAGAAAGCCACGGCUAACUACGUGCCAGCAGCCGCGGUAAUACGUAGGUGGCAAGCGUUGUCCGGAAUAAUUGGGCGUAAAGCGCGCGCAGGUGGUUUCUUAAGUCUGAUGUGAAAGCCCACGGCUCAACCGUGGAGGGUCAUUGGAAACUGGGGAACUUGAGUGCAGAAGAGGAAAGUGGAAUUCCAAGUGUAGCGGUGAAAUGCGUAGAGAUUUGGAGGAACACCAGUGGCGAAGGCGACUUUCUGGUCUGUAACUGACACUGAGGCGCGAAAGCGUGGGGAGCGAACAGGAUUAGAUACCCUGGUAGUCCACGCCGUAAACGAUGAGUGCUAAGUGUUAGAGGGUUUCCGCCCUUUAGUGCUGCAGCUAACGCAUUAAGCACUCCGCCUGGGGAGUACGGUCGCAAGAC